This 460-nucleotide ribosomal RNA is filed under the name uncultured bacterium. RNAcentral's name for it is "partial 16S ribosomal RNA". It matches the Rfam family "Bacterial small subunit ribosomal RNA", at positions 338 to 795 of the family's 1533-position model. The record is from RNAcentral.
CCUACGGGUGGCAGCAGUGAGGAAUAUUGGUCAAUGGGCGGAAGCCUGAACCAGCCAAGUCGCGUGAGGGAAUAAGGCCCUACGGGUCGUAAACCUCUUUUGCCGGGGAGCAAGUGCCGGGACGUGUCUCGGCCCGGAGAGUACCCGGAGAAAAAGCAGCGGCAAACUUCGUGCCAGCAGCCGCGGUAAUACGGGGGAUGCGAGCGUUAUCCGGAUUUGUUGGGUUUAAAGGGUGCGUAUGCGGGCGUUUAAGUCAGCGGUAAAAAUUCGGGGCUAAACCCCGUACGGUCGUUGAAACUGGGCACCUUGAGUGGGCGAGAAGAAGGCGGAAUGCGUGGUGUAGCGGUGAAAUGCAUAGAUAUCACGCAGAACCCCGAUUGCGAAGGCAGCCUUCCGGCGCCCUACUGACGCUGAGGCACGAAAGUGCGGGGAUCGAACAGGAUUAGAUACCCUUGUAGUC